GUGGGUGUAGCUCAGUUGGUUAGAGCGUCAGACUGUGGAUCUGAAUGUCGGGGGUUCGAGUCCCCUCACCCACC
This 74-nucleotide transfer RNA is filed under the name Pseudomonadota bacterium. RNAcentral's name for it is "tRNA-His". It matches the Rfam family "tRNA". Rfam says of the family: Transfer RNA (tRNA) molecules are approximately 80 nucleotides in length. Their secondary structure includes four short double-helical elements and three loops (D, anti-codon, and T loops). Further hydrogen bonds mediate the characteristic L-shaped molecular structure. tRNAs have two regions of fundamental functional importance: the anti-codon, which is responsible for specific mRNA codon recognition, and the 3' end, to which the tRNAs corresponding amino acid is attached (by aminoacyl-tRNA synthetases). tRNAs cope with the degeneracy of the genetic code in two manners: having more than one tRNA (with a specific anti-codon) for a particular amino acid; and 'wobble' base-pairing, i.e. permitting non-standard base-pairing at the 3rd anti-codon position. Lineage: Bacteria; Pseudomonadati; Pseudomonadota. The record is from RNAcentral. RNAcentral also lists the same sequence under 1 other name.